AUCUGGAUGACGAGUCUCAAAUAGGACUAAAUGCACAUCCUGGAU
RNAcentral lists this non-coding RNA (45 nucleotides) under Trichobilharzia regenti. The record is from RNAcentral. Lineage: Eukaryota; Metazoa; Platyhelminthes; Trematoda; Strigeidida; Schistosomatidae.